Long non-coding RNA from Bos taurus (domestic cattle), 396 nucleotides. Lineage: Eukaryota; Metazoa; Chordata; Mammalia; Artiodactyla; Bovidae. The record is from Ensembl.
ACAAAAAGUCGCGAUGGGCUCUCGGGAGACCUGGGGCUUUCUCCAGUGAUUCCGGACACUUGCUUCUGUUCCUGGGUUGAAAAUACCACCGGAAGCAGCAUUUUCUGAUGAGAUUACAGCACUUCUAGGCCAGUUUCCGAAGCAGAGGGGGAAACAAACGAAAAUGAAAAAAAGAAAAAGGAAAAAAUGGAGGCUGUGACCUACCUGGAGGUGGUGAGAGCCAGCAGCAGGUCGCAAUCAGCACUUUCUUCAUGGAAUGGAGCACACAGCACAUGGGAAGGCUCCCAGGCCCCGGAGCACACACUCAACAGCUGCAGGCGCACCGGCGUCGCUCCCCUGAGGCAUGUGGGAUCCUCCCGGAUCACGGAUCAAGCCUGUGUCCCCCACACUGGCAGG